RNAcentral lists this small nuclear RNA (106 nucleotides) under Zalophus californianus (California sea lion). Lineage: Eukaryota; Metazoa; Chordata; Mammalia; Carnivora; Otariidae. The record is from RNAcentral.
GUGCUCAUUCAGCAGUACAUAUACUAAAAUUGGAAUAAUACAGAGAAGAUUACCAUGGCCCCUGAAUAAGGAUGACAUGCAAAUUUGUGAAGCAUUCCAUAUUUAA